Molecule: long non-coding RNA, 1103 nt
Organism: Episyrphus balteatus (marmalade hoverfly)
Lineage: Eukaryota; Metazoa; Arthropoda; Insecta; Diptera; Syrphidae
Exons: 5
Source: RefSeq, a predicted model, not a curated record
UUAAAUGAUGUAGCCGGCGUCCCCAAGCCAACCCAAGCCAUUCAGUUACAGUGUGAAUGUCUGAUCGAUAAGAGGAGCUAUUCAGCGGAGAGCUGAAGCAAAAAUAAAAAGAGAUUUGUUCGAUUUCCCAUUUGCCGCCGCCCGCCCGUCGCCUGCUGCCAUCACGUCGUUUCAUGCAUCAAAAAUUUAAGUGCUCUUCUUACACCACGUUGCCACCACCACGCUGCCGCCACAUAUUGUCUGCCUCCGGUGUCGUUGUCGUCAUUUGCCACACCACGUUCCUUCCAGCCACCACGUUGUUCCCGCCAGCCACCACCAUCAUCACGCUAAAAUAAUUCCUGUGCCAUCACGUUGCCACCACCACGCUGCCGCCACAUCCGCCACAUUAUUGUCUGCCUCCGCUGUCGUCGUCAUUUGCCACACCACGUUCUAUCCAGCCACCACGUUGCUCCCGCCAGCCGCCACCAAUCUUGCUAAAAUAAUUCCUGACUGUAAAGAUGCGGCAUUACUUUGGGCUCUGCAUGGAUACUUUGUACCUUUCCAAAAAGUUAUAAAAAAAGACACAGAUGGUAGGAAACACGUUAUACGACAUACCAUCAAGGACUCGCAGUAUUCAUUCGUUUGGAUAGGCAACACAAUUCAAGCUUAAGAAGACCAUAUUGCCUUCCUCAACAAAAUGGGUGAGAAUACCCACCCACCAAAUAAAAAAUGUAUGUAUGUACAAAUGCUCUAGUUUUGGUAAAUGAGAUCAUAAAAUUUCAAUUCUUAUAUUAUUUUGAUUCAAAUUUCCCUUAAUUUCACUUUUUAUAAUUUGUUUCACUUUCUUAUCUGAAGAUAAAUCUACAAAAUAAUGUAAUAAAAUUUUUCCUGCCAUUCAUUUGGUUUAUUUGAACAAUAAAAGAGUUAAUGUAAAUAUAAAUAUUUCUUUAAUUUAACCUUUAAGAUUUCAGAAAGGAGAAGAUUAGAGAUGAAAAACCGAAUGUACAGGUUUGUAAAAAUUGAAAACGGCGAUUCACAUUAAUUUUUCUUUCUUUUUCACAGAUCUCGACCUAAUAAAUUUAGAAAGCUAAGCUUCCAUGACUAAUUUAUUUGUCAGUUGAUUU